Molecule: long non-coding RNA, 594 nt
Organism: Herpailurus yagouaroundi (jaguarundi)
Lineage: Eukaryota; Metazoa; Chordata; Mammalia; Carnivora; Felidae
Exons: 3
Source: RefSeq, a predicted model, not a curated record
CAUCUCACCGCUGGAUCGGUGCAGCCUCCAGAGCGGUGAGCGAUACAUGCCUUUUGUUUGAACCCCUCACACCCCGGCCUUUUUAUGAUAGCAUCCCAAGUGGACAAAGACAAGGACAUUACUGGGAGAACUGGUCCACACAAAGACCUAACAAGCCAAGCCCCCUCCCGGGAAGAGCACAGCCGAAGCCUUUCCACACAACGCGUGGUGACUUUUGAGUAGCUUGGACCAAGAUUUAUUGUCAACAGCCCAGUCGGUAACAGCUGUUUGCAUUCCUCAGCCCCUCCAUUGCCUCCUGAAUGUCAAGUCUCUUAGCUGAGAGAGCAUCCUUCAUUUGGCUAUGCCUGCUCAAAAGAAUUACUUUUGCACGGUAUGAUCUGCUCAGCUAUACCCAUCUUCCACAUGCAGCCCUCCCAAGCCGGACACGAAUACAAAAGAAACGGAAGAUUAAUUCCAGAUAGUACGUGGCGCAAGCCAAUUAACUCAGCGCACACCGGAUGGUCCCUAAUCGCUCUUCUAGCGAGCGGAGGCUCUGCGUUUCCUUCUUACUGCCUUCGGGCCUCUCUUUGUAAAUACAUACUAGUCAGAAUUGAA